AUUGUAUCCACGAUUGGGGAAUUUUCCGCAAUGGGCGAAAGCCUGACGGAGUAAUACCGCGUGAGGGAAGACGCUCUGUGGAGUGUAAACCUCUUUUAUUGGGGAAGAACACAAUGACGGUACCCAAUGAAUCAGCCUCGGCUAACUCCGUGCCAGCAGCCGCGGUAAUACGGAGGAUGCAAGCGUUAUCCGGAAUGAUUGGGCGUAAAGCGUCCGCAGGUGGCUUAUCAAGUCGAUUGUCAAAGGUCCUGGCUCAACUGGGAACAGGCAGUGGAAACUGAAAAGCUAGAGUGCGGUAGGGGUAGAGGGAAUUCCCGGUGUAGCGGUGAAAUGCGUAGAUAUCGGGAAGAACACCAGUGGCGAAAGCGCUCUACUAGGCCUGCACUGACACUCAUGGACGAAAGCUAGGGGAGCGAAUGGGAUUAGAUACCCCAGUAGUCAAUCGUGGAUACAAU
This 455-nucleotide ribosomal RNA is filed under the name uncultured cyanobacterium. RNAcentral's name for it is "bacterial SSU rRNA". It matches the Rfam family "Bacterial small subunit ribosomal RNA", at positions 341 to 810 of the family's 1533-position model. The record is from RNAcentral. Lineage: Bacteria; Bacillati; Cyanobacteriota.